UGAUUACCUGUGGCUCUGGUACCAGC
Molecule: non-coding RNA, 26 nt
Filed under: Rattus norvegicus (Norway rat)
Lineage: Eukaryota; Metazoa; Chordata; Mammalia; Rodentia; Muridae
Source: RNAcentral